RNAcentral lists this long non-coding RNA (326 nucleotides) under Elaeis guineensis (African oil palm). Its description in RNAcentral is "long non-coding RNA (EGUI_LNC003752)". The record is from RNAcentral. Lineage: Eukaryota; Viridiplantae; Streptophyta; Magnoliopsida; Arecales; Arecaceae.
AGCCAACUCAUAUGGUUCUACACCUCUCAUGCCAGAUAGUAAGCUCAACACUUUAUAUAUUCUCGUUUAUGUUAUUUUGUCAUUUGUUAACUAAUAUAAUAUUCUUUGUAUUAGAUAUUUUGUGCUCAAGUUCAGAGGAUAGGGGGUCACCAGUGACCCCACAGUGGCAUGCAGCAGCGACCAUCGACUCUCAAACAUAGCGUCGUGGUCGAGGAUCCAUUUCACUUGCAGCACCUCCGACUCAAUCAGAGGAUAGAGAGAUCAUCCAUAUCCAGAGCCGCUCGUAAGUACUACAUGCUUAAUUAAUAUGUUUAAAAUUUAGUAAU